This 427-nucleotide ribosomal RNA is filed under the name uncultured prokaryote. RNAcentral's name for it is "bacterial SSU rRNA". It matches the Rfam family "Bacterial small subunit ribosomal RNA", at positions 355 to 774 of the family's 1533-position model. The record is from RNAcentral.
UAGGGAAUAUUGGUCAAUGGGCGCAAGCCUGAACCAGCCAUGCCGCGUGAGUGACGAAGGCCUUCGGGUCGUAAAACUCUUUUCUGAGGGAAGAACAACCGGGACAGGAAAUGGUCUCGGCCUGACGGUACCUCAGGAAUAAGCAACGGCUAACUCCGUGCCAGCAGCCGCGGUAAUACGGAGGUUGCGAGCGUUGUUCGGAAUAACUGGGCGUAAAGGGAGCGCAGGCGGUUUGGUAAGUCUAAAGUGAAAGCCCGGGGCUUAACCUCGGAAGUGCUUUGGAUACUGUCAGACUCGAGUUCGUAAGAGGAAAGCGGAAUUCCAGGUGUAGCGGUGAAAUGCGUAGAUAUCUGGAGGAACACCGGUGGCGAAAGCGGCUUUCUGGUACGAUACUGACGCUGAGGCUCGAAAGCAUGGGGAGCGAACA